CUGCCGCUACUGCCCCUGCCAAGGAGGCGGCUGCUGCUCCUGCCCCUGCCAAGGAGGCGGCUGCUGCUCCUGCCAAGGAGGUGGCUGCUGUUCCCGCCCUUGUCAAGGAGGUGGUUGCUGUUCCUGCCCUUGACCCUAACCCUGCUACAGUUUCAAGUGAAACUCCUGCGCAGGCAUCCGUCCCAGAGGGGACCCCUGUUACAACCUCAGUUAACACAGCUACAAAAGCUGCAGCCCCGGUACCUACCCCUGCACCAUGCACAGUUCCCAACCCAAUAUCCACUAGCACCCCAUCUCCUGCAUCACCUACCAUACCCGCCCCUGCUUCUGCUCAAUCCCAAGCUCGAUCUGGACAUGCAGGGCAGCCUACAAAGGGCAAACAUGCUAAGAAGCAGAAGCAAAAGGGGAAGUAGGCUGUUGAGAAGCCUGCAGUGACAGUGGAGAAGGAAGUUAAGUCUGAAGCCAAGAUUGAAGAAGUUACAGUUGACGAAAAGCCUGAAGUGAAACCAGAGAAGCCGAAGGAGGAAACUGAAGUUAAAUCCACAAAGAUAGAGGAA
This is a long non-coding RNA of Homarus americanus (American lobster), 557 nucleotides long. RefSeq lists it as uncharacterized. Lineage: Eukaryota; Metazoa; Arthropoda; Malacostraca; Decapoda; Nephropidae. The record is from RefSeq and is a predicted model, not a curated record. The transcript has 2 exons.